GCAUGCCUGCAGGUGGAAAGGUGGCCCGGGCAUCACUGCAGCAUCCCUGUGAGAGCACUGACGGGUGAUCCAUUUUUGGGAAAACCUGCCUUCUUUUCCAAUUAUUAAUCUGUUUGCUGUGUGAGGAAACAAGGUUGUACCCCUGCAAUGCAAUUCUCAGUAUGUGCUGUGAAAAGGAGAAUGGAGAUAAUUCUCAUAACUUGUUCCAGUUAAGUUCUCAAUUCAUUAAAUCAAUACUAGCCAAUGAUUACCAGGAGAUAUGUGUUCUGUGAGCCUUUUGCCUGCAGUGUUUCGGAACCCUGCCAGACCCAACCAGCUUCUGUACCCACAUGUGCUCCUGCAUCCCAUGUUAUGCUUUUGCUUCUCUCUACACAGGGCUGGCACUAGCUCCACUGCCUGUACCCAGCUGCCGGCACCCAACACUCAGGGUUGCUGCCAAAGUUGGGGAGGAGGCAGAGGGAUCAGAAUGUUUUUGAGAUGAUCACGGAAUCACAGUUUGGUUGGGUUGGAAGGGAUCUUCAAAGCUCAUCUAGUCCAAUCCCCCCUGCAAUGAGCAGGGACAUCUUCAGCUAGAUCAGGUUGCCCAGAACCCCAUCCAGCCUGGCCUGGAAUGUCUCCGAGAACGGGGAAUUCACCACCUCUCUGGGCAACCUGUGCCAGGAUUCUACCACCCUCAUUGUAAACAAUUUCUUCCUCACAUCUCCAGGGAUAUGAAAUCUCUACAUAAAGCGAUGCACUCCGACUGCACAGUGGCAGCUCUUCCUCACUGCUGUUGUCGGACUCUCUGGCAGGACAGCUGGGAAUGGCUGGGCUCCAUAGAAAAGCAUUUCUGGGUCAUGUUUGAGAGGAGGGCUUGAACAGCAGCAGUGGUGAAACUCUGCAGGUGAGUGAAAAUAAUAAGAAAAUGUGUGAAAGGAGCAUAGAGGUGAACAAAGUCUGAGAAAAUCAGCCAAACAUCUGAGCUGCUCUUAUACACAUGGCUGAGAUAUCAGAAUUAAAUGCAAAGGAGUUAAAGACUUUCCACAUAACAAAAAGUACAACUCAAGAAUUACUAAGUGCUUCUGGAAGAAAUUCUAGCACUAGGAUCUUGGCAUUGUAAAGGAUAACUUGUUCCACGUAGGAUACAUGAGAAGAAAGGUCUGUGCACUCUCUGAAGUUCAGCAUGAGGUGAAAUGCUCAUUAAUGGAUGUCUGUGGUUGGAGAACGAAGGGUAAAGGAGCAUGGAGCAUGGGAUGCUGGGUGAUCCUGCAGUUAGGAGAAGGAGCUGGAAGAAGUCUACUUAGGGAAAUAACAGAGCCAUCUUUAAUACUAGGUGACGUUAUUGGUCUAAUUGCUGGAAAAGUGUACAAAUCAUCAAGAGUUCAAAUAUACAACUUGGUGACUGAUUUAUGUCUGCACAUGGUGGGGAGUGGGGUCACAAUUGCUUCUGACUAGAGCAGGGGGAAAAUGUUAAAAUCAAAAAUGGCAUUGGGUGAACGCAAAAAUAAGUGACAUCACAUUUUUAAGAAAAGGAGGAAGAGCAGCAGAAUAAGGAAAAUGGACUUCAAAAAGGCAAAAUUUGACAUACCAAAAUAACAAGGACUUGUGCAGAAACAAGCUGAUAGAUGGUGUGCAGGAGAGCUGGCUGUCACUAGCAGAGGCUGUUUAAAGGCAUGGCAGAGAGACCCAAUGCAGAGGAUAGCAAAGAUCUGAUACAGCUGCCUUAAGAAUGCUGAGAACAUGAAAGAGUGGAAAAACUUAAAAAAUGGAAACAUGACAGAUGAUUGAGGAGCAGCCCCAAAGGGGUGAGUAGAGUUGUUAGAAAGGUCAAAGUGACAGUUACAGCAAACAAGGGAAAUGAGAGAAGAUAAAAAUAUAGGGGAAGAAACAGAGUGAAACUACAGGUAAGGUAUUUCUCGGAAAAAUCAAAAAUGGACUCAGAGAUGACUGCCUACUUUGUAUCAGGCAUCACUGAGUUCAGUGGUUAAUGCAAUGGAUUUUAACUUGGGGCUAGGAUUGCAGUCUAGAAUAAAGCAAGAACACCACAAAUAUUAAGAUAAAUUUGAUUCCAUGAUGAAAUUCAUCCUAAAGCACUAAAGGAAUUGGCUAAGCAAUACUUGAACCAUCAUCGAUACAGCUUCAGGAAACUGAAGAGACAAGGGAGGUCUUAGAAGAUGGGAAAUGGCAAAUCUAACUUUAACAAAAGGAGAGAACCUCAACUACCAGAAUGAAGGUGCUUCUCUGAAACCCAGAAAGAGUGUAGGACAAACGAUUAACCAAUUUGCAAAGAAAGCACAUCUCAACAUAGGAUGAAACAGAGUUGUAGGCAUGGAAGUGAACUACUCUGUUCUACUAGUAAUACCAUGCCUCACUUUUUAAAAGCAGAUAAGGUAAAAGUGUGAAGGGUGGCCCAGUUAUGCUUCAUCCUGCCUCUCUGAGCUCUUUUGAAUUCCCUUCCUCUUCCACAUCUCUGCAGUUGCAUUAAUUGGAUUUCAUGAUUUAGCUGCUGGUGUUUUGAUUUUAGUAUGUGACUUUAAAAUAGAAUAAUAUGAUUGCAAGUCACUGAGUGAAAGAAAUUCACUUGUUGGGAUGCCUGGGCCAGCACACUGUGUGAGAACGGAGACCAGUUACCCUGAUGAGGCGAAUCUGAGUGAUGUUUGAUGGGAGAAAGCAAAACCUUGAGGUGAGAAGCACACUGAUAGCCAUGGAAAGCAACAGAAAAGGCAGGUAAAUUUACUGUCUCUGUGCCAGAGCCUCAGAUUACUAUCAUUCAUUUAGGCGUCUCACACAAGAGGCAGCAAAGUUACAAGUUAAGGAAACAACACCCAUACUGUAUUUAUCAGAUUUGUGGCUCAGAUCCCUCUGGGUCUGUGCUUAGUUUAUGACUGCUGCACCCCCUGGAGCUAGCUUUACUGCUCAUGUAAACAGUACUUCUUGUCAGAAGGAAAGUAAGUGCUGUGCAGGAAGGAGAUAAAAGCAGCUGAGAAUCUAAAAGAGACAUUUUAAACCUUGUAUUUAUUAAAUUAACCCUUAAAUGUUUGCCAUCCAGUAAUUUCAAAUGGAUUCAGGCUCCCAUUUCUGCUACAGAGGACUUGCAUUUCCUAGUGUGUUUUAGGGAACUGGUGGGUUACACUCAAAGAACAAGUUAAAAUGCUUCGAACUGCACAAACAAAUAUAUGACAGACCCCUCCCUGCAAAGAUUCUUAUAAUUUAAUUGAUUAUGUGACAGUAUAACAGGAUAAUUCUUCACAGGUUUAAAAACAGGCAACAGUGUUUAUCAAAGGCAUUGCUUAUUUUGCUUUCCUUUACAUGUAUCUGUAUGGUAUCACAGAGUAUAAUGUUGCCAGAUCCUGAGAGUUUUGUCACAAGUCUCAUAUGACAUUUCUUAUUUUCUUAAGCUGUAAAUGGUAGAGUUGGAUGAACAGGUGAAAAUCACAGCUUCUAUUUAAAAGUGUCUCACACUUAUAUUUGAAGGGAGAACUUUCAGUCCUGAAGUGUCAAACAACAGAAGAAACACACAAGUUUCUUAUGUUUCUUUGACGCUAAUGACAUCAAGGCCAGGUAGGACAGAGCCUUGGGUGACAUGGUCUAGUGGAAGAUGUCCCUGCCCACGGCAAGGGUUUGGAACUGGAUGACCUUAAGGUCCUUUCCAACCCAAACCAUUCUGUGCUUCUAUGACAUGGUUUGGGGGAGGCCUGACUCAUGAUUCACCAAUACUUGAAGCUGUGAGAUGUUUAUAUGAUCUUGACACAUCUUCUAUGGUUGAAAGAAAGACUACAUUUUGAUCCGGAUAGAACAAUAAAGCUUGGGAUGGACACCAGAGUACCUGCCGUAGAGUUAACAUUGCUUUCAUGAAGGCUUACACACGGAUUUUUAGCCAUGCAAGCCUUCUCCUGGACACCUGCCCCUCGGGUAUUAUCCUGAAAGUCUAAAAAUGUUUUCCUCAGCAUGUUCUGCUGCUGUCAGUCUAAGUUCUGGUUAGACUGCAACUGAUGGAACAUGAUAACCUGCAGGAGAUAGCCAACACUAUCUGAGGUAGCACGGAAUGGGAAGGCAGAAAUCGCUGAUCACUCCAGACGUUUGCUGUAUGAAUGGGAUAUAAAUGACUGAUGGUUUGGGAUGGAGAAGAGGCAGAGAUCUCCAACAUUUUUUCUUCCAAAACAUCUCAAUCAUUAGUGAUGCCUUGGAAGCGGAGUAACUCACUGAAUCUGCUAUAGUAGAUUACUGUCAGAUGUAAAUGGCUUUUGCAACUAUUCAUUUAUUUUAAACAAUGUCAAGCAGCACAACUUUUUAAGAACUUUAAUUAAAUGGCAGAUGCAAUUAAUUUUUCUGCUUGGAAGGACCAAGAAGAAAACUUGGUUGGAUGCCAGCUGUUAGCUUUUGGGAUGACUUACAGUUGCAUCCAUUUAUAACAUUGAUAGCUCAGCAAGAAGCUGUUAAACUGUGAUACAUAUUUUAUUUUGUUGAGGGAUUUCUUAAGUGUUCUGUGGAAGUUUCAGGAAGAGCUACAUAAAUGCUACCUGAUGGCAUCUAAUAUAGUUUUUGGCUGCAGAAUUUACACUGUAUUUACCAUAGUGCAGUAGUUUUUGUGCUCAGAAAAGACAUCUGAGGAAAGAGUAGAAACCAACGUCACAAUGAGUACCUUGCAGGGGGAGGACCUCCAGACAGACCUGAGAACUGCAUGUUCCUCUGGCUUGCUUCAGAAAGGUGGCUACACUCACUGGCUGUGCCUAUAGGACUUCAGUACAUUCAGUUACUGUUGAUAAGUUUAAGAACUUUUUUGGGGUUGGGAGUAGGGUAGGCUAACUUAUGGAUGAGAAGUCCAGAAAACCUACUGGUACAUGCUUCAGAUACCCUUGGGACUUUUUUCACCAAGUCAGACCACAGGCAAGAGCUGUAAAACAACCUACAACGGGUCAAGCCAGGUUUCUCUGUGGCAUGUUAAUAAACUCUUGCUGUGGAGUGGAACAGUACCUUUCAGAUUUUUGAAAGUUACACCUCAUAAUACAUGACUGUAAAAUCUGAUCAAGCCCUGUUCUCCUAAAAGUGAUCCAAGAAACCUCAUUUGUUUCUCCUUUCAGUAACAUGAGCAGGGGUUCCUUUCUACUUAUUUUUUAACAACUAUUAUGAAGAGACGAUUGACAGAGCCAGUGUUGAAAGGCUCGUGUAUAAUUAAUCCACAACCAUAGCCAUUUCUAUUGUCACAGCACCCAGAACCUAUCAGCUGGUGGAAACAGUGUACAGUCUCCAGCAGCCUCCACAUAAAGAUGUUUCACAAGUCACUCUCCAUUCCUAGCUAAUGCUCAUGCAGUGAUGGAAAUACAAAACUCCUCUGGCACAGCAGUGAGGCAGUGAAAGUUCAUCUGGUGUAAUGCAGAGCAGAAGCAGCUUGUUCCCCAGAUCCCUCAUGCUAUACUUACAUGUGUGUUCAGGCUGCUCUUGUUUUCAAGGUCAAGGUUAAAUGGGAAUACUCACAGUAGUGUUUCCCACAGGAGGCAUGUUGCAUCUAUGACCCCAAGUCUGCAGUGGCCUCUUGGAUUCAUGCUCAGAUGCUGGCCUUGGAUUCAUGAAGCCCAUGAGUUGUAUGCUGGCUGCACACCAUCCUUUCUGUCCUUCCUGGCACAUGGUGGUCAGGUGAGGCACUGAACUGGCAGGGAGGUGGCUUCCAUGCGAGGACACUGUAGACAAAGUGGCUUUGUUCUCUCCCUGGAGCUCUGUGAAAUGUCAGUUUGCCAAAUCUGGCAGCUGUUCUUUUGCAGACCUGUUUUAACAGGAGGAUGCUCAAAUUACUUCAUUUGCAUCCUGCCUUCAAAGAAUUUCAAUGUUUUGGAGUUUUUUAGGGGAAAAAAAAAAAUAGUUCAGUAUUUUUUCUCUUGUGUAUAAUUUGAUUUGUACUUCACAAGGAAUCAGAUAUUAAGCUCAGUGUGGUUUUGAACAUGUAUGUGAGGCUGGAUUUUCAUUAUCCUAACACAAUAGCUUCUGUAAUAUUUAUCAUGAUGACUUAUGAUAAGUAUACAAGGGAUUACUCUAUAACCUGAAGUUUCCAUUGUGCCAGGAACAAGAGGUACUCAAUUUUUCCAUAAUUUGCAUCACGGUCUUGUUUUACUAGUGCUACCAAAAUUUCCAAGGAUGGGGUGGCAGACAGCAGAAUCAGGGUGUGUGUAAUUCAGUCAUGGAAAAAAUACAAGGGAUUUUCAGACCUGAGGAUGCUCCAAGCUAUGAUUUUGCCCAAGUCAGUUCUAUUCAUAUCUAAUAGUUUGGCUUAGCUGGUCAGGAAUAAAAAGCUGAGAACUUGCGGCACA
Molecule: long non-coding RNA, 6281 nt
Organism: Pezoporus occidentalis (night parrot)
Lineage: Eukaryota; Metazoa; Chordata; Aves; Psittaciformes; Psittacidae
Exons: 2
Source: RefSeq, a predicted model, not a curated record